RNAcentral lists this ribosomal RNA (460 nucleotides) under uncultured bacterium. RNAcentral's name for it is "partial 16S ribosomal RNA". It matches the Rfam family "Bacterial small subunit ribosomal RNA", at positions 338 to 795 of the family's 1533-position model. The record is from RNAcentral.
CCUACGGGAGACAGCAGUGAGGAAUAUUGGUCAAUGGACGGGAGCCUGAACCAGCCAAGUCGCGUGAGGGAAGACGGUCCUACGGAUUGUAAACCUCUUUUGCCGGGGAGCAACGGGGUCCUUGCGAGGGCCCAAUGAGAGUACCCGGAGAAAAGGCACGGGCUAACCCCGUUCCAGCAGCGGCGGAAAUACGGAGGAUGCGCGCGUUAUCCGGAUUUAUAGGGUUUAAAGGGUGCGUAGGCGGGCUGUUCAGGGAUCGGUCAAAUGUCGGGGCUCAAACCCGGCCUGCCGUUGAAACUGGCGGCCUCGAGUGGGCCGGAGUUAGGCGGAAUGCGUGGUGUAGCGGUGAAAUGCUUAGAUAUCACGCAGAACUCCGAUUGCGAAGGCAGCAUACCGUCGCCCUACUGACGCUGAGGCACGAAGGCGUGGGUAUCGAACAGGAUUAGAUACCCGGGUAGUC